GGUCGAUUAGCUCAGUUGGUUAGAGCACUGUGUUCACAUCGCAGGGGUCACUGGUUCGAAUCCAGUAUCGACCA
RNAcentral lists this transfer RNA (74 nucleotides) under Planctomycetaceae bacterium. RNAcentral describes it as "tRNA-Val". It matches the Rfam family "tRNA". Rfam says of the family: Transfer RNA (tRNA) molecules are approximately 80 nucleotides in length. The record is from RNAcentral. Lineage: Bacteria; Pseudomonadati; Planctomycetota; Planctomycetia; Planctomycetales; Planctomycetaceae.